RNA transcript from Scylla paramamosain (green mud crab), 1281 nucleotides. It is a transcript of the gene named probable valine--tRNA ligase, cytoplasmic, with no coding region annotated. Lineage: Eukaryota; Metazoa; Arthropoda; Malacostraca; Decapoda; Portunidae. The record is from RefSeq and is a predicted model, not a curated record. The transcript is spliced from 8 exons.
AGUCAGACUUGAUAUACGGAUGAAUUUGUUGCUUUUUAGAGGGGCAAUGGAUCUGUACAUGCGUGAGGUGGCGAGGGGCGUGGCCAGGGGGCGGCUAGCAGCGUGUGCCACCAGGGAAAUGUGUAUGAACAUAAAAAAGGCGCCUGUCAAGAAAGGUUCGUUCGGUGCAAGGAGUUGGCACAGGAGGCGUCUGAGGCUGUGCAGAGCAGCCGUCUGAACCUGGUGCCACAGCUGCACAGGAGGGCAUGGCAUAGCUGGCUGGACAACAUCACAGACUGGUGUGUCUCCCAGCAACUCUGGUGGGGCCACAGAAUGCCAGUGUACCACAUCACUGCAGCAGACGGCCGGGAGGUGUGGGUGGCAGCUGCUCGGAGGAAGAUGCAAGGCGGAAGGCUGUGGAGAAGGAAGACUGUGCUGCUGCAUGGCCUCCUGUGUGAUGGUGGCAGCCACAAGACAUCCAAGUCCUGGGGCAAUGUGAUAAACCCCCUGGAUGUGAUCAGUGGGGCGUCCCUGGAGGUACUGUGUGAGAGGAUGGAGGGGAGCCUGAAUACAGAAGAGGUACUCACUGGUAUCAGGAGGAACUUCCCCACAGGCAUCCCAGAGUGUGGAGCUGAUGCCCUUUGGUUCACCCUGUGCUCCACCAACUUCAAUACUGCACACCCCGUCCUGCAGCCUCAAGGCACUCACCUCUCCUUUUCCAGUCAUGGGUGCCUUGCCUCCUCCUUGCAACACCACCACCACCACCACCACCACUGCUGCCAUUACCUACGAGGGGGAGAGACUGUGAUGUGGCUGCAGGUGGCUAGGUUCGGAGGCCUCCAGAGAGCUGCCCAGAGUGAAGCUUGUGGUAUAGAGGGACAGCUGCUGAUCAUCAAGCUUACAUAGUGACUGGAGGAAAGUGGGAGGAGCCUGGAGGGAGUGAUGGAGGUACAGUACUUGGAGAAAAUCCCUUCACCGUGACAACUGGGUGUCUGCUGUACAGGCCACUGACCAAUGUUUUAGAUCCUCAUCAGUCACUGCUACACCUUGCAACCAGUAUUUGGAGAACACAGUGAGAAUAAUUGAGGGUGGUUGCAUCACCCUCAAUCACGAUCUACAAAACUCAAACGAUGACCAAGCCUGAGCCCAGACCGAGACCCAGAGAAAUGUAAACAAACGCAGUCAGACUUGAUAUACGGGUGAAUUUGUUGCUUUUUAGAGGGGCAAUGGAUCUGUACAUGAGUGAGGUGGCGAGGGGCGUGGCCAGGGGGCGGCUAGCAGCGUGUGCCACCAGGGAAAUGU